Non-coding RNA from Nicotiana tabacum (common tobacco), 309 nucleotides. The record is from RefSeq and is a predicted model, not a curated record. Lineage: Eukaryota; Viridiplantae; Streptophyta; Magnoliopsida; Solanales; Solanaceae.
CAGAUACAAGAGAUUGACAGGCUGAUGAAUUACAUACAACUGAUCGAUAAGAAGAUGAAAAUGAGGGGUUGAAAAGAGGUUCUGGUUGAUUGUAACACAAUCUACAAGGUUGGCAUUGAACCCAAAUGACGACAAUUAACAACACGUACUGGUCAUAUAGUCAGAGACGGAUUCAGGAUUUUUGAAGGAUUUAUACCUUCAAGAUUGAAGUGUUUUGAGUGGGAGAAGUAGUUCAUUAUCUGCAUGACCAAAUGCUCCAUUUCCAGAAGAAGUGAAGAAUAGUACAAAAAGCAGAAGACAAAGAAUGGA